RNAcentral lists this ribosomal RNA (253 nucleotides) under uncultured bacterium. Its description in RNAcentral is "partial 16S ribosomal RNA". It matches the Rfam family "Bacterial small subunit ribosomal RNA", at positions 524 to 776 of the family's 1533-position model. The record is from RNAcentral.
UACGUAGGGUGCAAGCGUUGUCCGGAAUUAUUGGGCGUAAAGAGCUCGUAGGCGGUUUGUCGCGUCUGCUGUGAAAACUCGGGGCUUAACUCCGGGCCUGCAGUGGGUACGGGCAGACUAGAGUGCGGUAGGGGAGACUGGAAUUCCUGGUGUAGCGGUGAAAUGCGCAGAUAUCAGGGGGAACACCGGUGGCGAAGGCGGGUCUCUGGGCCGUAACUGACGCUGAGACACGAAAGCGUGGGUAGCAAACAGG